AUCUGGAGCUAUUGGACUUGGGAUAUAAUAACUUCAGUGGACCAUUUCCAUCUGAAUUUGCCAAUAAUCUGUCACUGACUACCCUAUUACUUGAUAACAACAAGUUCAUUAGCAGCAUUUCCCAUGAAUUAUAUGAACUUAAGAUGAUUUCUGAAAUUCAGGCAGAUGAAAACCGGCAAAGAGUUUCGUGUAGCAGCGGAGACUUAACCUGGAACUUGGCUCACCAAGGAGACAUAGCUCACAGGAUGCUGUUGCGGGUGGUUGAUGCAGCAAAUCCACCCAAAGCCAACAAUCAUAAAGUACAUCAUAGUAGUUCUGCACCAUCACCUUCUCUGUCUCUAUUGCCACCAUCAUUUCCACCAUCAGAAUCUCCAUCAUCAUUCUCACCCUCUGAUCCAACAUUAUUGUCACCAUCAUCAUUUUCCCCCUCACAUCCUUCACAAUCUCCAUCAUUUGCUCCAUCAGAAUCCCCUUCAAGUAUCCUCUUGCCUCCUUCACCCUCACCCACAGAAUCACCAUCAUCAAUAGAAUCUGCAACUAAAGUUUCACCUGCUCCUGCAC
This 561-nucleotide unclassified non-coding RNA is filed under the name Hevea brasiliensis (rubber tree). Lineage: Eukaryota; Viridiplantae; Streptophyta; Magnoliopsida; Malpighiales; Euphorbiaceae. The record is from RNAcentral.